RNAcentral lists this ribosomal RNA (1122 nucleotides) under Brevibacterium oceani. RNAcentral describes it as "bacterial SSU rRNA". It matches the Rfam family "Bacterial small subunit ribosomal RNA", at positions 22 to 1149 of the family's 1533-position model. Lineage: Bacteria; Bacillati; Actinomycetota; Actinomycetes; Micrococcales; Brevibacteriaceae. The record is from RNAcentral.
GCUCAGGACGAACGCUGGCUGCGUGCUUAACACAUGCAAGUCGAACGCUGAAGCCUGGUGCUUGCACCGGGUGGAUGAGUGGCGAACGGGUGAGUAACACGUGAGUAACCUGCCCCUGACUUCGGGAUAAGCCCGGGAAACUGGGUCUAAUACCGGAUACGACUGCCGGACGCAUGUCUGGUGGUGGAAAGUUUUUUCGGUUGGGGAUGGGCUCGCGGCCUAUCAGUUUGUUGGUGAGGUAAUGGCUCACCAAGACGACGACGGGUAGCCGGCCUGAGAGGGCGACCGGCCACACUGGGACUGAGACACGGCCCAGACUCCUACGGGAGGCAGCAGUGGGGAAUAUUGCACAAUGGGGGAAACCCUGAUGCAGCGACGCAGCGUGCGGGAUGACGGCCUUCGGGUUGUAAACCGCUUUCAGCAGGGAAGAAGCGCAAGUGACGGUACCUGCAGAAGAAGUACCGGCUAACUACGUGCCAGCAGCCGCGGUAAUACGUAGGGUACGAGCGUUGUCCGGAAUUAUUGGGCGUAAAGAGCUCGUAGGUGGUUGGUCACGUCUGCUGUGGAAACGCAACGCUUAACGUUGCGCGUGCAGUGGGUACGGGCUGACUAGAGUGCAGUAGGGGAGUCUGGAAUUCCUGGUGUAGCGGUGAAAUGCGCAGAUAUCAGGAGGAACACCGGUGGCGAAGGCGGGACUCUGGGCUGUAACUGACACUGAGGAGCGAAAGCAUGGGGAGCGAACAGGAUUAGAUACCCUGGUAGUCCAUGCCGUAAACGUUGGGCACUAGGUGUGGGGGGCAUUCCACGUUCUCCGCGCCGUAGCUAACGCAUUAAGUGCCCCGCCUGGGGAGUACGGUCGCAAGGCUAAAACUCAAAGGAAUUGACGGGGGCCCGCACAAGCGGCGGAGCAUGCGGAUUAAUUCGAUGCAACGCGAAGAACCUUACCAAGGCUUGACAUACACCGGACCGUCCUGGAAACAGGUCCUCUUCUUUGAAGCUGGUGUACAGGUGGUGCAUGGUUGUCGUCAGCUCGUGUCGUGAGAUGUUGGGUUAAGUCCCGCAACGAGCGCAACCCUCGUUCUAUGUUGCCAGCACUGUGAUGGGUGGGAACUCAUAGGAAGA